AUUUUGUUCUUCUUCCCUUCGCCAUCAACAUAUCUCUUCUUCUUUUAUGUAUCUCUGCACAUCUUUCUUUCUUAUUCUCUAAACCACUACCACCGCGGUCUCUUCUUAUUCCUCUUGUUCAAAUGGCGGUGGAUUCCGAAGAAGGAAGGAUGAGAAGACAACAUGGUCGAGAUCUGGAAAUCCAAGUGUAGGAGAGCUUGCUCAAGAAGUGUCGCGAAGGUCUUCAAUCCACACAGAAACUUCAAUACAUUGCUUCUCUAUUGUUCAUCGAUCCAGAAACAGUUGGAGAGCUUGCUGUCUAUAGUUGGUGGAGUAUGGUCAGUGAAUAGAAAAUCUUGAAGUUGAGACAAAGGUGCGCGGAGAUGAUAGAUAAGCCGGAGACGAACAUGACGGUGGUGUAUGGGAUGAGCUUGGCAGUGGUGAGCCGAAGACGAGCUCGACGACAGUGAGUGGGAAGAGCCAUGGUGAUUCCGUCGUCAUCUCCGACGUCGAAGGAAAGAA
Molecule: long non-coding RNA, 501 nt
Organism: Brassica rapa (field mustard)
Lineage: Eukaryota; Viridiplantae; Streptophyta; Magnoliopsida; Brassicales; Brassicaceae
Source: RefSeq, a predicted model, not a curated record